Molecule: long non-coding RNA, 201 nt
Filed under: Phoenix dactylifera (date palm)
Lineage: Eukaryota; Viridiplantae; Streptophyta; Magnoliopsida; Arecales; Arecaceae
Description: long non-coding RNA (PDAC_LNC013177)
Source: RNAcentral
UUGAUUGAGGAGGUUUUAAUUUAGGUCUCAAUUGGGUUUGCUACAUCACAUGUAAACCUAUCUACCCGACUCUCAUUCACAUCACAUGCAAACGGCACAUUGUAGGCAGUUAUAAUCGCAGCAAUAAUUAAAGCUAAACUUUAAAUAGGUGAUGAUCAUGGAUUCUAAUUAGGUCGUAUUACAAGCACAUGCACGUCAAUC